GAGGAAAGCUGGCGGCGUGCCUAACACAUGCAAGUCGAACGGAAAGGCCCUGCUUUCGUGGGGUGCUCGAGUGGCGAACGGGUGAGUAACACGUGAGUAACCUGCCCUUGACUUUGGGAUAACUUCAGGAAACUGGGGCUAAUACCGGCUAGGAGCUCCUGCUGCUUGGUGGGGGUUGGAAAGCAUCGGAUGUUGGGGAUGGACUCGCGGCUUAUCAGUUUGUUGGUGGGGUAGUGGCUUACCAAGGCUUUGGUGGAUAGCCGGCCUGAGAGGGUGACCGCGCACAUUGCGACUGCGGUACGGCCCAGACGCCAACGGGAGGCAGCAGGGGGGAGUAUGACACAAUGGGCGGAAGCCUGAUGCAGCAGCGCCGCGUGCGGGAUGACGGCCAUCGGGGGAGAAACCGCAGUCGCCUGUGACGUUGCGUGAGUGACGGUAAUGGGUAAAGAAGCACCGGCUAACUACGUG
RNAcentral lists this ribosomal RNA (468 nucleotides) under uncultured bacterium. RNAcentral's name for it is "partial 16S ribosomal RNA". It matches the Rfam family "Bacterial small subunit ribosomal RNA", at positions 31 to 507 of the family's 1533-position model. The record is from RNAcentral.